UACGAAGGGGGCUAGCGUUGCUCGGAAUCACUGGGCGUAAAGCGCACGUAGGCGGAUUGUUAAGUCAGGGGUGAAAUCCUGGAGCUCAACUCCAGAACUGCCUUUGAUACUGGCGAUCUCGAGUCCGGGAGAGGUCAGUGGAACUGCGAGUGUAGAGGUGAAAUUCGUAGAUAUUCGCAAGAACACCAGUGGCGAAGGCGGCUCACUGGCCCGGUACUGACGCUAAGGUGCGAAAGCGUGGGGAGCAAACAGG
Molecule: ribosomal RNA, 253 nt
Filed under: uncultured bacterium
Lineage: Bacteria
Description: partial 16S ribosomal RNA
Rfam family: Bacterial small subunit ribosomal RNA
Source: RNAcentral